Molecule: unclassified non-coding RNA, 336 nt
Filed under: soil metagenome
Description: partial contains 5.8S ribosomal RNA, internal transcribed spacer 2, and large subunit ribosomal RNA
Rfam family: 5.8S ribosomal RNA (bases 1-120)
Source: RNAcentral
GAUGAAGAACGCAGCGAAAUGCGAUACGUAGUGUGAAUUGCAGAAUUCAGUGAAUCAUCGAAUCUUUGAACGCACAUUGCGCCCGCCAGUAUUCUGGCGGGCAUGCCUGUUCGAGCGUCAUUUCAACCAUCAAGCCCCAGGCUUGUGUUGGGGACCUGCGGCUGCCGCAGGCCCUGAAAACCAGUGGCGGGCUCGCUGUCACACCGGGCGUAGUAGAUUUUAUCUCGCUCAGGGCGUGCUGCGGGUUCCGGCCGUUAAAAAGCCUUUUUUACCCAAGGUUGACCUCGGAUCAGGUAGGAAGACCCGCUGAACUUAAGCAUAUCAAUAAGCGGAGGA